GACGGAGGAGGCAAGCGUUAUCCGGAAUUAUUGGGCGUAAAGGGUACGUAGGCGGCUGGUCAAGUCUGGGGUCAAAGGCCACAGCUCAACUGUGGGAAGGCCCUGGAAACUGACCGGCUAGAGUGAGGUAGGGGUUGCGGGAAUUCCCGGUGUAGCGGUGAAAUGCGUAGAGAUCGGGAAGAACACCUGAGGCGGAAGUGAGCAACUGGGCCUCAACUGACGCAGAGGUACGAAAGCUAGGGGAGCGAAUGGG
RNAcentral lists this ribosomal RNA (253 nucleotides) under uncultured bacterium. RNAcentral's name for it is "partial 16S ribosomal RNA". It matches the Rfam family "Bacterial small subunit ribosomal RNA", at positions 524 to 776 of the family's 1533-position model. The record is from RNAcentral.